AUUGAACGCUGGCGGCAUGCCUUACACAUGCAAGUCGAACGGCAGCGGGCCUUCGGGUGCCGGCGAGUGGCGAACGGGUGAGUAAUGCAUCGGAACGUGCCAUUGAGUGGGGGAUAACGUAGCGAAAGUUGCGCUAAUACCGCAUAUUCUGUGAGCAGGAAAGCAGGGGACCGCAAGGCCUUGCGCUCUUUGAGCGGCCGAUGUCAGAUUAGCUAGUUGGUGAGGUAAAGGCUUACCAAGGCGACGAUCUGUAGCGGGUCUGAGAGGAUGAUCCGCCACACUGGAACUGAGACACGGUCCAGACUCCUACGGGAGGCAGCAGUGGGGAAUUUUGGACAAUGGGGGCAACCCUGAUCCAGCCAUGCCGCGUGAGUGAAGAAGGCCUUCGGGUUGUAAAAGGUCUCUUUCGGGUCCGGGAAGGAAAGUCGCGAUGGGUGAAGUACCCUGUGUGGAU
Molecule: ribosomal RNA, 454 nt
Filed under: uncultured bacterium
Lineage: Bacteria
Description: bacterial SSU rRNA
Rfam family: Bacterial small subunit ribosomal RNA
Source: RNAcentral